RNAcentral lists this ribosomal RNA (497 nucleotides) under uncultured bacterium. RNAcentral describes it as "partial 16S ribosomal RNA". It matches the Rfam family "Bacterial small subunit ribosomal RNA", at positions 28 to 507 of the family's 1533-position model. The record is from RNAcentral.
GAUGAACGCUGGCGGCGUGCCUAAUACAUGCAAGUAGAACGCUGAAGGAAGGAGCUUGCUCUUUCCGGAUGAGUUGCGAACGGGUGAGUAACGCGUAGGUAACCUGCCUGGUAGCGGGGGAUAACUAUUGGAAACGAUAGCUAAUACCGCAUAACAGUAGAUGUUGCAUGAUAUCUACUUAAAAGGUGCAAUUGCACCACUACCAGAUGGACCUGCGUUGUAUUAGCUAGUUGGUGAGGUAACGGCUCACCAAGGCGACGAUACAUAGCCGACCUGAGAGGGUGAUCGGCCACACUGGGACUGAGACACGGCCCAGACUCCUACGGGAGGCAGCAGUAGGGAAUCUUCGGCAAUGGACGGAAGGCUGACCGAGCAACGCCGCGUGAGGGAAGAAGGUUUUCGGAUCGUAAAGCUCUGUUGUAAGAGAAGAACGAGUGUGAGAGUGGAAAGUUCACACUGUGACGGUAUCUUACCAGAAAGGGACGGCUAACUACGUG